Molecule: long non-coding RNA, 177 nt
Organism: Etheostoma spectabile (orangethroat darter)
Lineage: Eukaryota; Metazoa; Chordata; Actinopteri; Perciformes; Percidae
Exons: 3
Source: RefSeq, a predicted model, not a curated record
AGUUUCUUGCUCUUUUCAAUAUCCGUUUUCUUUUCCUGGGCAAAGAAGACUUCUGUUGCUGAAAUUUUGGAUUUUGAAUAUGUGUGGUCCUCCGUAUAUCUUUCUUCAAACUUGCCAGGGCCGGGAAGCAACGAUACCCAUUAGCAGCUCCUGUGCCUAUCAUGUGACAGCAGAAAA